GCCACGUGCUGAGUCCUGCCUGCCUUCGCCCCCUGCUGGUGGCUCACGGUAUUGAAGCCAGACUUCUCAUGGACAUGAAAUUGACAGCCCACUUUAGCCCAGAGGUCCCUUCGUCUUCCCUUCCUCCGUGGCAAGGACUACUGGCAUGUGCUGCCCAUGCCCCAGCAUCACCUCGAAGAGUUCUCCACGUGCUCUGAAACUGCCUCCAUCAUUUUUCAUGGAACAAAAAUAUCCCAUUACAAAUACAUACCAUUGUUUUCUACACCGGAGUUCUGUGCAUGACCAGAUCACUCAAGAUGGAGGCACCUAUGUGAGAAACAGCAGAGAUCUGCUUCUGGGAGAUGACAUUCCAUGUGUCCCUACCACAUGGGCAGAAACAGCCUCUUCCCAUUGACUGGGUGUGAGUGUCAGAGGUAUCCCUGAAAUGUUGUAGGGCAUGUGAUCAUGCUGGUAAAAUCCAGCCGAGCAGAAGAAAUCCAUUAUUUCUUUGUCUUCCUCUGCUUCCAUUGAAAACCAUGGGUUGCCUAGAAAACAGCUGAGAGCAUGUUUAUGGCAUGGCACUGAUCCCCUUAGUUUUCUUGUUCAAAGUCUUAUAGUCUGUCCGUAACCUGAUUACCCAAGUCUUCUUCUGUACCACCACUAUAAGCAUUGCAAAUGGACUUCUGGACUAGGUGGUACCAUUGGCUAAACCUUUCAGAUGUUUUCUGGACUUCUACAACAAGUAGAGGAGUCUUCUGGGACUUCUAAAAAGGCCAGGAGUCAGUGAGGUAGAUUUGGGAGGGGGCUGCUCCUUGGGCACUUCCUAUACUCACAAGAAUAGUAGACCUAUCCUCCCUGUGACCUUCUCUCUCAUCCGGUCCUUCCAUUCUCCAAGCAUUGCAGAGUUACCACAGUCAAGGUCGUCUGGUUCCCCUUCUGAGUUCUGAAGGAACUAAGGCUCCUGUGAUGGUCUUUGCUGACCCCUGCUUUAAGAUUCUCUGCAGGCUACAAGGAUGGUUAGGAUUGGUGAGGGAUUAAAACCAAGCUCACUGCCUGCAGCAUUCUGCAAACUUGCUGCAAAAACUGCAGAGACACUCUGCAAGUCUGGCAUAGCAGAUCUAAAGUACCGACAGUCUCGAUACCUUACUUGCAGGGUCCAGAGCCCAUACCCUGGAAGGCAAUCCUUUCAACUCCAGAACUCUUCUCCAGGGGCCCUGUUGCCCUGAUUGGCGAAUGCCUCACAUGGCCCACUGCAUCUAAGCCUACUCUGGGCAUGCUUCACUUUCCUUCCCAGCCAUCUUCUCACCAGAUAUCUUGCUACCCCAAAUGAACUACCUGUCCCUGCCCUGCACAAAGAAGUUUAGGGACCAUAAUCAAAGUAUGUUUCUGGAAAGAGGGUUCUGAUCCACUCCCCU
RNAcentral lists this long non-coding RNA (1394 nucleotides) under Phascolarctos cinereus (koala). Its description in RNAcentral is "lncRNA (ENSPCIG00000030877.1)". Lineage: Eukaryota; Metazoa; Chordata; Mammalia; Diprotodontia; Phascolarctidae. The record is from RNAcentral.